Long non-coding RNA from Parus major (Great Tit), 2552 nucleotides. RefSeq lists it as uncharacterized. The transcript has 2 exons. NCBI's taxonomy places the organism in Eukaryota, Metazoa, Chordata, Aves, Passeriformes, Paridae. The record is from RefSeq and is a predicted model, not a curated record.
GCAUUUCAACCAAAACUUUUAAAAGUAGGUUUGGGAAAAGGGACCCAUAUUCUGCUACUGCCUCGUGAAAUGAACAGGUUCAAACUAAAGUUUCAGGGUAGGCUCAUGCCCCACUUCAACUGCAUUGGAGAAUUUAAAAUGUAGGUCCAGGAACUCCACAAUGGGGUCUCCAAGGAGGUGAGCUGUGAAGAGUCAUAACAACACACCUUCUUAGCCCGCUUCUUGUCUCUGGGAGCAGCAAAGGUGCUGGGGGCAAACUGGUUCUGGCUUGGGAAUGGCUUCGAGCUCCAGCCUGUGGCUCCACAGCAUCCCUUUUUCCCUGAACAAGUGCUGCAUGGGAAUGAUGGAGCAGACACUUCAGUGAGGUUCUGUGCUGCACCACACAAGGCAAGCCUUGUGUCAUCAGGGAUCAGCAUAGGUAGGGAAGGAGAUACGGGAGUUAAAGGUCUCUGAUGCCCUUAUUUUCAGAGGCAAUCAGCAAUUCUGGCUGCCUUCAUUGUGUGUUCCUCUCAGGGCAGCUUCAGCUGAGCUGGUUUACAGGGGCUGUAGCUACCUCCUAUUCUGGAAGUUGAGGCCUUUGAAGGCCUUUCAGGUGGGAAAAAAGGGAGUGGGUUGCUCUGCCAUUGGUGAAAAAUGCAGUCCAGGAACGCAGCUGUGCGUGGCCCCCAGAGGCUCCCCAGGCUACAGCCAGCCUCAUCCUGCCACUGCUGGCUCAGCAGCAUCCCCCCAAAACCGAGGGCUGCCAAGCUCCAUGAGCAGUGAUGGGACACAGUUCUUGUGUUGCAGCUCUCCCUGUGUCCCCUGUGGGAUGCAGUCAGGGCUGGGAUGGGCUGGAAUGGGUGGCUACGGGAUGGAACCUGGUGUAGGGAGGGCAGGGAAGGAGCUGAACAGCUGCUGCCUUCUUUUCCUCCCGCUGUGUGCUGCAGGAAGCACCCUGAGAGGAGUCAAGUUCCUCCUGCUCCCAUUCUCUUCAGGUCUGGAGUCUGUUUGUUGGAAAGAGUGAAAGAGGAGAACAGAGGAGUGGUCAGUAAUUUUCUCAUCCUUCUUUCACAAUCUCUUCCAACCCUUCUCUCACAGGAUCUCCAGACAGAGGCUGGAGGACAUCAGCCAUCCCUUUUGUGGAGCCAGCAGCCUCCCUUGUGGACACAGGCCCUGUCUCUCACGUAGCUGUAUGAGCAUUGCUCUGUCCCUGGCAGCCUGCCCAGGCACUGCCACAGCUCAGGGGUGGCCCUGAGUCCCGAGGGCGUCAGCAGCACAGACCCACUGCACCCUCAGCUUUUUGGCAUCCACCACCCCCUGCAGCCCUGUGCCACCCCCCCAUUGCCAGCCGACGUGCCGCUUGCCCGAGACAUGCCUGCCGGAGCUGGUCUGCGCCCUUUUGCCCCUGAAAACAAAGCUGUGGGGGAUGCUGGAAAGCAGUGAGGCAGAGGGAAGGGGUGCAGGACUCCAGCUUGCCUCUCGCCCUGUGUCCCGCUGGCCGGGCGAGCUGUUUGCUCGUGCUGCUGCAGCCAGCCCUGGGAUGGUGCAGACCAGCGGCUGCCAAUUGACGUCAGAGGAGCGCCGGUGGUUUGUGUGAGCUGAGGGACUGCUUCUACUCCAGCUUUUUCCCUCCAGGAGUGAGGAUUUGUGGCCCCAAAGCUGUCUGGGAAUGAGGAGUGGAACAAGCCUGACACUGAGCCCCAGCUGGAGUGAACCUUUCAGACGGGGUCAGCUUCCGUCAGGGAUGAGGAUGAGCCUUCACACCCUGUGAUCCUGCAUGCCCUGCAAGCCUCUCUUGCCAGUGCAACACCUGAGCACAGAGGGGUCCCUGGGUGCUGUCUGCAGGUCCUGAAUUUUCCCUUUCAGGUGUAAUUUGGUGGUGUUUAGACCAGGGCCUGCUGUUCCCACCAUGCAGUAGCCACACUUGCUACUUGGGCUAAUGAAAUGCCCUUCUUGCCUGUUAGCAGGUAAUUAUCCUGUGGAAUUUUCAAGCGCUGGAUCUUUGUCAUUUUUUGAUGAUUUGGUGUAAGCAACAGCAUAAUCAGUGGCUGGAGAACUCAGGAGAAGUCUCAGGAGCCAGUGUGCAAAUCAUUCCUCCCCUGCUUUGGCUAAGCAGAGGCAGCUCACAUGGAGCCCACAGACCUGGUGCCUUUUGUGGGGUCAGGGGAGGAUGUGCCAGGAAAGUCCUGCCUCAUUGGAAAAUGGAGAAGCAAGAGAAGCACUGAAACCUGGGUGGGGUGACUGAGAAAAUUUCUAUUAGAAAUCAAGUGGAGAUGCAACUCCUGUUAAUUCAGAAGCACAGAAUUUUGCCGGCUGAGAUCUUAAAAUUUCCUUUUGUACACAAGAAAAAGAAAAAUGCUGAAUCUAUGCAAAAAGUAGCCUUACAAAAACAUAUAGAUAUAGAUAUAUGAGUACAUCUCAUAAACUGCCCUUUCCCAUCCCUCUUUUCUCCCAGUCAGGUUACAAAAUUUCCUUCUGUUGGUGACAGCAAAGUACCCUGGCUGCCUGAGUCCCCACCUGAGGCAGUCUGGAAGAAUUGGACAAGCCAUAAAAAUACACUGAUUUUCACAUUC